CAGUCGCUUCUUUUAUUUCUUAUUAUAUAUUUUAUUCAAGCAGCAGUUGAUCAAUGCUCUUAAAAUUGUGCUAUCAUCUUUAGAGACUGAUUUACAUCCACACAUCUGCAUCCGGGAGGCUCUGGAAUUAAAUAGUCAUGACUGAGAGAGUGUUUGUGUUUGUUGAUGAAGAGGAGCUGUUCAGUGUGAUGAAGGAUGCUGACUGUCUCUACUGCAGGAAUCCAGUCACUGCGUCCAAACAUCACCUCAGAAAGAGACAUCUCAGAUUCGCUAUAUAUUAUAAAGACUCUGCCAUUGGGAAGUUUUCUAUCCCCUGUUAUUGCUCUGAUGGAGGCCAUGGCAGGAGCCACUGGCACUGCCCAAUGUGCGCAAAAAUAUUGCAAAGAACAAAGGAUUUCAAAAUCCAUAUUACCAACCACGAGAAUGGAAUAUCAAGUAUGUAUCUGACUGUAUGGUAAUCCAGUCAACAGUUUACACAGUAAAAAUCAUUUAUUAUUAUUGGCAUUGUCCGUAUUGUAGAAUAUACACAAACCAUGUUUUUUUUUUUUUAUUUUUAACUAAUCCAAGUUAAUUCUUGUUAAUUAAUAUCCUUCAAUUCUGAUAUGUUUCACACGACUGCAGGUGUUGAGAUGACAGACAAAUCCACAGGUGAGCAGCGGCAUUUAAUCAUUUUCAGUAGCGCUCAUCCACUGAUCAAAUGAACACCACAGCAGCUGCCCAGUCAGUCAGUGACAGUUUUGUAUGACGGCGCCUCCUAAAGGUGUGGACACAUACCAUUGUUCUGUGAAUUUUCACAGAUGCUGUUCAGUAGAAUACACACAGUCUGAUUUUCACGAGGGUAAACUAUUUCUCCACGCAGUUUCUGCAGCGCACAUGGCUGUUUAUGUAUUUAUUUUCUAGUGAUUCUGAAGGCCAUGAUCAGCUGGUUCAAGUGUGUUUGAUUGAUUGUUGUAGCUCACCUCUGCAAGACAACGGGUCUCCAGGAGCAAGGUUAAAGACCUCGGACAGGGGUGUCCAAUCCUGCUCUUGGAUCUUGCAGACUUUAGCUCCAUCCGUCUCCAGCACACUUGAAUGGAAGUUUCUAGCACAUUCUGAAGACCUGGGCUGUGUUGCCCCCAUCCCCUUAUUUAGGGCACUAUUUGAGAGAACAGCCAUUUGAAGUGUUGUCCGAAAAUACUCAUUCAAUACCAUAAUGCACCUCGGUAAUGAGUCUACAACCGAUGAACUCUCAGCGGCUAGAGAAUACCCAUAAUGCACUGUAAGGGUCAUGCUGAAUGAACUCCCAUGUCUCGUCAGAAGAUGGCGCCUGCAGUUGAAUCAUCAGUCCAUUCUUUUUCCAAACCGCUGGUCCAAUGUGGUUACAGAGUACUAUCAUACAGUUGAGCUACAACCUACAAUGGUCCUGUCGGAGAACCAACAAACAGACAACGAAGACAAGACACCGGGCAACAAGUCAGCGUGCCAGAAGUGUGGCAUCUUCUUUACCACCACAUCAAAUUUGAGACGGCAUGAGAGACUACAGCACGGCCAAGACCAGCAGCCCAUGUUAUGCGUAGAUGCCAAAAAUGCAAUCUAUGUUACACCCAAGGAUCUGCACGGACCUAGAGUGCCCAUUCAUAUCCGUAAAUCCUUCACCUUGCAGAUUCUGCUGUGUGAACUGGAGGAAUGCUGGGAUUUCAUGAAAGCGCUGGCCCAGAGCGGGAAUCCUGGGAAGGAAUGCCGUCACCUCGUGAGAACGAAUCACGCGCAGCACUACGUCCCUCCUCCACCGCUGAGCAUCAGCUCUCUGGAGGAGAUGAGCCACAAACACCUCCUGUCCGCAUCUGAGAAACACGCGUGCCAGGAGAUGAACUCCAGGGCAUGUUUAGAGGGAGUCGAUUGUGUCUACCCUAUUUUUUGGGGGAAGCAUGACCUUUCAGAGAGAUGUGUCUACUUUUCUGUGUACACUGACCUCAAGGACAAAUGGUGUCAGUUUGGGAGGACACGCGUCUCGUUUGACACCAAGUCUGGCAGCUGGAAGUGUCUGUGUGAACACAAAAGAAUCCCUUGCAUCCACAAGCGUUUAUCUAUGUGGUGGUUGUUUCAGGAGCAUCCCAAAUUGUUGCAGAACCCCCUGGAUGUCCACGCUGAAAGAGUCGACGUGCUUGAGGAAGUGGUCAUGGAUAAAAUGUCUCCUGAUGGUGAUGACCUCUGCUAGCCUCAACAUCCCUCUCAUGUUCUGUCUUCACCCAAUAAAAACACUUGCCAUACACUUGAUUUUGCCUUGUAAUUUCUUAGUUGAUUUGCAAAAAUUCAUGUGCUGUGCUAUGUUUACAGUGUUGGGGGAAACGCAUUACAAGUAACACUAAUUACGUAACUAGUAACGUAUUACUUUUACAUUUGCAAUGAAAUAUCGGAGUUACUUUGUCAAAUAAGUAAUGAAAGUUAUUUUGUUACUUUGCACUCAACUUCUGUCUCCGUGUUGAGAGAAAUCAGUGGCACUUCCUUCAGCCUGAGGCUUAUUAUUUUUUACAGUUGCCAUUACAGUACAGGUGACCAAAAGUAAUGCAAAAGUAACGUAAUGCAUUACUUUCCAUGAAAAGUAACUAAGUAACGCAGUUAGAUUUUGGAGUAGUGCAAUGUUGUAAUGCAUUACUUUUAAAAGUAACUUCCCCCAAAACUGUAUGUUUAUGACGUUGCCACACUAAUUUUAUUAAAGUUAUCCAAGAUAUAUUUAUUGUGAAAUUUCUGGAAAGGUGUCUUGAGAUUUAUUCAUGGAUUAUUCAUCUGAAAAGCAAAAUGUGUGUUCUCGUGCUUUCAAAGCCAAAUGUAAUGCAUACUAAGUCCCACCACUCUUUGUGGUGAAGUUUCACUUUAGGCUUUGUAUUGCACUGUAAAUGGUGAGUUAUGUGACAUGACUGUGUCACACAAAGUAUUGAUGGUGUUGUGUGUCUUUAUAAUUGCCCUCUUGGCUUUGCCCAGACUGGUUUAGUCUGGUUGUUUUGGCCAGAAUUUAACUAAUUUUACACAACGUAAAUUAUGUUCAGUAUUAUUAUUUUUAAAAUGCAUCUUUAUCUAUGUUCGAACAGCAAAGUCUAAUAAUAAUAAAAGAAAUUAAAGAAA
Cyprinus carpio carpio is the source of this 3102-nucleotide long non-coding RNA. The record is from Ensembl. NCBI's taxonomy places the organism in Eukaryota, Metazoa, Chordata, Actinopteri, Cypriniformes, Cyprinidae.